AGGACCGAUGAUGAUGACUGGUGGCGUAUGAGUCAUGGCUGAUGAAUGUCAUGUGUCUGAAACUCUGAGGUCCAA
Molecule: small nucleolar RNA, 75 nt
Organism: Manis pentadactyla (Chinese pangolin)
Lineage: Eukaryota; Metazoa; Chordata; Mammalia; Pholidota; Manidae
Product: small nucleolar RNA SNORD113/SNORD114 family
Exons: 1
Source: RefSeq, a predicted model, not a curated record